Molecule: unclassified non-coding RNA, 200 nt
Filed under: soil metagenome
Description: partial contains internal transcribed spacer 2 and large subunit ribosomal RNA
Source: RNAcentral
CUUGGGGGCUCCUUGCUGCCUUUGGGCGGCUCCCCUUAAAUGCAUCGGUUGUGGCCCGUCUGGCUUUCAGUCCUCGGCGUUGUAUUGCCCUCGCCCCGCGUCUUGUCGGCAGCGCCCUUCCCCGACCGCCUCUGGAGCGGCGGUCAAACACUUUUUUGAAAUCUGACCUCAAAUCAGGUAGGACUACCCGCUGAACUUAA